AUACGGAGGAUCCGAGCGUUAUCCGGAUUUAUUGGGUUUAAAGGGUGCGCAGGCGGCCAUUUAAGUCAGCGGUUAAAUCGUGGGGCUCAACCCCAUUCUGCCGUUGAUACUGGGUGGCUUGAUUGCGGUCGAGGUUGGCGGAAUUCGUUGUGUAGCGGUGAAAUGCAUAGAUAUGACGAAGAACACCGAUUGCGGAGGCAGCUGACCAGAACGCAAAUGACGCUCAGGCACGAAAGUGCGGGGAUCGAACAGGAUUAGAUACCCUGGUAGUCCGCACAGUAAACGAUGAAUACUUGUUUUCGGCGAUAUAAUGUCGGAGGCAAAGCGAAAGCGAUAAGUAUUCCACCUGGGGAGUACGCCGGCAACGAUGA
Molecule: ribosomal RNA, 371 nt
Filed under: uncultured bacterium
Lineage: Bacteria
Description: partial 16S ribosomal RNA
Rfam family: Bacterial small subunit ribosomal RNA
Source: RNAcentral